CGCGUGUGUGAAGAAGGUUUUCGGAUUGUAAAGCACUUUCGGCGGGGACGAUGAUGACGGUACCCGCAGAAGAAGCCCCGGCUAACUUCGUGCCAGCAGCCGCGGUAAUACGAAGGGGGCUAGCGUUGCUCGGAAUGACUGGGCGUAAAGGGCGUGUAGGCGGUUUGCACAGUCUAGAUGUGAAAUCCCCGGGCUUAACCUGGGAGCUGCAUUUGAUACGUGCAGACUAGAGUGUGAGAGAGGGUUGUGGAAUUCCCAGUGUAGAGGUGAAAUUCGUAGAUAUUGGGAAGAACACCGGUGGCGAAGGCGGCAACCUGGCUCAUGACUGACGCUGAGGCGCGAAAGCGUGGGGAGCAAACAGGAUUAGAUACCCUGGUAGUCCACGCUGUAAACGAUGUGUGCUGGAUGUUGGGUAACUUAGUUACUCAGUGUCUAGCUAACGCGAUAAGCACACCGCCUGGGGAGUACGGCCGCAAGGUUGAAACUCAAGAA
This 492-nucleotide ribosomal RNA is filed under the name uncultured Acetobacter sp. RNAcentral describes it as "bacterial SSU rRNA". It matches the Rfam family "Bacterial small subunit ribosomal RNA", at positions 398 to 907 of the family's 1533-position model. Lineage: Bacteria; Pseudomonadati; Pseudomonadota; Alphaproteobacteria; Acetobacterales; Acetobacteraceae. The record is from RNAcentral.